GCCCCCGUAGUUCAAUGGAUAAAACAACUCCGUCCUAAGGAGAAGCUCUAGGUUCGAAUCCUGGCGGGGGCACCA
Molecule: transfer RNA, 75 nt
Filed under: bacterium
Lineage: Bacteria
Also listed under: 2 other names
Description: tRNA-Arg
Rfam family: tRNA
About the family: Transfer RNA (tRNA) molecules are approximately 80 nucleotides in length. Their secondary structure includes four short double-helical elements and three loops (D, anti-codon, and T loops).
Source: RNAcentral